CAUACUGGUUAGAUCAACAUCGGUUCAUUCGCCGACCCACUUGAUCCAUCGGCUUCACCAUUCCAUAUCUACGCUGUCCAGAGCCCGAUCACUGUAAACUUAGUCUCCAGAUUUUCAUCUCAGUGAUGCCAACGUUUCUGUGCAAUGAUUACAUUUGAGUCUAUCAGCUGCUAUGGAGAAUGGAUGCAUGCAAACUCAGAUUUUUGGUGAAUUCUUAACGGCGUUUCCAGCCAAUUUUUGGGUUGAUUGAGCAGUUCGUCCAAUGCAAGUUCAUCUUCGAAAAGGGAGAUUCUGACCUCUUCUCGAAUUGCUGCUGUCAGCCAACUUCGAUGGCCAGAAACUGCAAGUUUGAGCCUUUUUAUCAGUACGACUUCUUCAUAAAAGUUGUUCGAAAUUGCGUCUUCUAUACUUUUCUCGAAAAUCAUGAUAAUCCAACGGUUAAUUCGUUCUCAAUCAAGUUUCUACUCAGAUUGGGUCAUGUUUCUCCAUCGACAUUUGAGUUACUUUCAUGAAGUUUACAUCUCUAUCUUGAGUUCACACAAUUGAUUUUACAAUUGGAUGACGAAGCAUGGAAUCUGGUUGCACAAGCCAAAGGCAGAGGUAUUGCUUGACCUGGAAUAACAUUCGAAGUACUUUGAUUCAAGUUGGUCUUGCAGGUACUGUGCACGAGGAUUGAGGAGGAUUUCGGGACUGAGUUGGGUGCUACAUUUUUCUUUAACUAUUUGGUAUAUUUACCUACACAUUUUAUUCGCCUCUACUUAAUUGUUAUUGU
Molecule: long non-coding RNA, 772 nt
Organism: Rosa rugosa (rugosa rose)
Lineage: Eukaryota; Viridiplantae; Streptophyta; Magnoliopsida; Rosales; Rosaceae
Exons: 5
Source: RefSeq, a predicted model, not a curated record